GACGAACGCUGGCGGCGCGCCUAACACAUGCAAGUCGAACGAGCGAGAGAGAGCUUGCUUUCUCAAGCGAGUGGCGAACGGGUGAGUAACGCGUGAGGAACCUGCCUCAAAGAGGGGGACAACAGUUGGAAACGACUGCUAAUACCGCAUAAGCCCACGACCCGGCAUCGGGUAGAGGGAAAAGGAGCAAUCCGCUAUGAGAUGGCCUCGCGUCCGAUUAGCUAGUUGGUGAGGUAACGGCCCACCAAGGCGACGAUCGGUAGCCGGACUGAGAGGUUGAACAGCCACAUUGGGACUGAGACACGGCCCAGACUCCUGCGGGAGGCAGCAGUGGGGAAUAUUGCACAAUGGGGGAAACCCUGAUGCAGCGACGCCGCGUGGAGGAAGAAGGUCUUCGGAUUGUAAACUCCUGUUGUUGAGGAAGAUAAUGACGGUACUCAACAAGGAAGUGACGGCUAACUACGUG
RNAcentral lists this ribosomal RNA (466 nucleotides) under uncultured bacterium. Its description in RNAcentral is "partial 16S ribosomal RNA". It matches the Rfam family "Bacterial small subunit ribosomal RNA", at positions 28 to 507 of the family's 1533-position model. The record is from RNAcentral.